Molecule: ribosomal RNA, 377 nt
Filed under: uncultured organism
Description: partial 16S ribosomal RNA
Rfam family: Bacterial small subunit ribosomal RNA
Source: RNAcentral
GUAGGGUGCGAGCGUUAUCCGGGAAUCAUUGGGGCGUAAAGAGCUCGUAGGCGGUUCAGCAAGUCGGCUGUGAAAUUCCGAGGGCUCAACCUCGGAACUGCAGUCGAUACUGCUGUGACUCGAGUUCGGUAGAGGAGAAUGGAAUUCCCGGUGUAGCGGUGAAAUGCGCAGAUAUCGGGAGGAACACCAGUAGCGAAGGCGGUUCUCUGGGCCGGCACUGACGCUGAGGAGCGAAAGCGUGGGUAGCAAACAGGAUUAGAUACCCUGGUAGUCCACGCCGUAAACGUUGGAUACUAGGUGUGGCGUUCCGACCAACGGUCGCCGUGCCGAAGCUAACGCAUUAAGUAUCCCGCCUGGGGAGUACGGCCGCAAGGCUA